Talpa occidentalis (Iberian mole) is the source of this 726-nucleotide long non-coding RNA. RefSeq lists it as uncharacterized. NCBI's taxonomy places the organism in Eukaryota, Metazoa, Chordata, Mammalia, Eulipotyphla, Talpidae. The record is from RefSeq and is a predicted model, not a curated record. The transcript has 3 exons.
CAUGGAGGCUGGUUACAUUUUCACAAUGCCCGGCCCCAAGCUAGAACUUCGGGAAAAAGGAUCAAGGAAAUGCCUAGUUCGCCAAAUAAAAUCAUCUUCCAAGUCCUAGAAGCCUAUACAUGUUUGAAGAGGAUGAAAAUCUCAGCACCUUCACUGACCAAACCUGAGAAUGCUUGUACCUUAUUUAAGGAACUGUUCUGAUCAUGGGACUUCCCAGGUCCUAGGAAUCUAAGACACAGCCACCCCAUCAGCCCAGCAGUCUGCGAUAAGCCCUCAUGCACUUGUCGCAAUGGGGAUUGGAAUCUCCUGAGAGGGCACAAGUGGGCAAAAAGAAAGAAAGAAAGAAAAAGUACACUGGGAAGAAAAAAAGUAUUUUGGAUUUUCCCAGUUAUUGUGGAGUAAAGGUAUUUCUGUCUACUUUUCUCCUAACAUCAACUGAAAGCAGUGAAGAAGAUGAACAAAAUACAGAAGAGAAAAAGCCAUCCUCAAUUGAAACAGAAGAAUCUGCACCACAAAUCACAAGUGAUGAAAUAUAGCUGCUCAACAGGGUCAAGGUGGAUCGAACUGGAGGCAGACAUCAAGAGUAAACAUCCUCACAGUCUAAUGCCAAGUUCUCCAAAUGUAGUUCCUCCAGAUGUAGUUUCAUCCCCUCAAAGAACCAGAAAACACUGGGAACAUCCCCCAAUCCCAUUCCAUGAUAGAUGCCAGGGUAGCUGGGGCCAAACA